CAGCAUGGGAUAACAAAAAGUUCAGAAGAGAAGCAGGGAGAGAAAUUAGGCAGUGAGGACCUGAGAAGAGCAGUUAUGAAAGUACUGUGGAAAUCCCCACCUUACUGUCUUCUUGUUUCCAAGUGGCUUCUGAGAAGUUUGAUGUCAGUCUGACACGCUGUUGAAGGGUCACCUUAAAUCCAUGAUGUGUUUUCUGAGAGAUUAGAAGCAGACUGCAAGGUGGACUCAGAUUUUGAGAUGCAGCUUUUCUGCACUGAAUAUAAAAUCCCUCAGUGUCGUUUCCAUGCUUUCCAGCGUCAGCUUAAUUUUGUGUAAAUAGUCUGGAAAAUUUCAUCACGGCUAGCAAAGCGUGUAUGAACAAGUGUGUAAGACUGUAAGAACAUAUUUAUUCAGCACCCCAGAAAUUUACAGAUGAACUAAAAAGUUUCAAGAAUGUCCCUUUUACUUCACACUUGACAACAACACCUUGGAAUAGAAUUGCUGGGUCAUAAGGCAAUUCUAUAUUUAACCACUGGAAGAACUGUCAGACUGUCACACCAGCCGCACCAGCCGCACCAGCCGCACCAGCCAAACCAGCCGCACCAGCCACACCAUUUUGCAAUCCCACCAGCAAUGCUUGAAUCUCUCCACAUUCUUACCAGCACUUGUUACUAUCUGAUUUUUUAACUCUAGCCAUCCUAGUGAGUGAGAAGUAGUAUCUCAUUGUAGUUUUGUGUAGAGAGAUUUAUGAUACCUUUAAAUUAGUUAUUGUUGUUAUAAAGUAAAGCUAUAGUAGCUCUUGUAACAGAUUUUCCCAUGACCAAUGCCCUCCUGGGCCUCUCUCAGGCGUAUUAACUGGGGCGUCCUGAACAACGAACACUCGUGGCAGAUUGGCUACUCCAGCAUCUACACGGGGUGAGUCAGGGCCGUGCAAUACUUAAGAACACAGUUCUGCACCCACACUCUCUGGGGUCAGACCUUAGGUCUCUCACUUACCUGCUUGUAUGGCCUUGGGCAAGUUAUGCACAGGGUUGCAGAUAUCCUCAAAGUCUUGCAUUAAUGGAUGUGAUUUAUGCAAGAAGACAAAAAAAAUUGUGCUAAAAGAAAUGGCCUUAGCUUUAUACCCCGCAAAUAGGCAUAUUGGCAAAUAUU
Cynocephalus volans (Philippine flying lemur) is the source of this 1131-nucleotide long non-coding RNA. RefSeq lists it as uncharacterized. NCBI's taxonomy places the organism in Eukaryota, Metazoa, Chordata, Mammalia, Dermoptera, Cynocephalidae. The transcript is spliced from 6 exons. The record is from RefSeq and is a predicted model, not a curated record.